CUGAUAAGGAAAGAAAUAGUCCUGUCCAGACUUGACCAGGAUAAUCUUCUUAAGACUCGAUAUUCCAUUAUUGACAUCCUGCCCAUAGAAAGAACAGUAAUCAGACUGAGCUUAGUGACUGACAACAGCUAAUUUUUAGCAUUAGAACAAAGCUAGUUUUUCUUCUGGUACACCUCAAAAGGACUAACCAUUUCCCAUACAAGAGCUACACUACAUCCGUAGGCAGUGACCAUACAGCCCAGGUGCUAAAGUUGGAGCUACAUCGUAAGAUCCAGAAUAGUGUAAGUGUAUCUCUCUUUUUUUAUCUUCCAAAUACCAGAGACUUACUACAGUAUCAGUCCCUGUAUUCUCUGCUGGUUUUGUCAUUCCAUAAACCACAAAGGACAUUCAAGGCUCUACACCUACACCCCAUUCCAUUCCCCCCUGUUCUACCACAUUUCUAUUCACUGGAGAAGAGAGACACUGGAUUCGUGGAUUCGGUGGUGUAGCUGCCUGUAAGAACUGUAUCAGUAUUAUCUAGGGGCUCAAUAUUUUUCAUUUUGUUUUCCCUAAUGUUGUGAUAGCCUUUAUACUUAUUUCUUCGGAUGGACCCCCUUUUCGUACACACAGCGGUUCAAAAAGAGAAUAGUCAAGAAUACAGAACAGCAUCACCAGAGAGGAAUCCGCAAGAUGAAUUUACCUUGCUCUGAGGAAGAAUAUUGAAUUUGUAAUAACACUUAUCCCAGCCGCCAGGGCAAAAUGCCUCAUCGCCAUGGCAAUGUGGCACCUCGGAUUUGUUAAGCCUGUUCAGCGUCUGCAGAAUCAGCCUCUCUGCAGCGGUGGCUGAGGCAGAAUGAAGCAGGGCGGCGAGGGAGCUGUAAUCUCGAAGCUCUUCUUGCUCUGAUCCCUCGCGCCAAGCUGUAAGGACGGUUGCGGGUUAUAACCUCACUCUAGCCCCAGCAUCCCUAAACAGCACACGAGGGAGCAAAGCAAGAGCUUUUCAGCAGCUACCCUGGACCCCAAAGAAAGGGAGGCUGGGUGGGCUGAAAGGGGCACUCCAGGCAACAAAACAACUUAAUCUUAAUGAAGUUGUUAUGGUUACAGGAGGCCCCCGGGUGCACUCUUACCUUCUCGAGCGGUUGGCCAAGAGUGGUCAGCUGAUGCUCUCAGACAAUCAGGGACACCGCAUUCACAAAACUGGUUUGGAAAGAAACUUACCUUUUCCAGCCAAUCUGCUGUGCCCUUGCAGGGCGGCACUCCACCCUUCCUGAAACGGAAAAUUCUGAAGCUGGAUACCGCCUGGGGGCGAAUUAGUUGAGAUCAGCGCUGGAGGCAACUAUGGGAUUAAACCGCUUGAGAUCAGUUUAACCCCUGAAGGUAAGCGUGCACCCAAGACCCCCCUGGCACCUUAACAACUUUCUUUAAAUGAAGUUGUUAUGGUGCCUUAUGCUGACUAAACUGCUCCUUUAAAUAAAAAAAACAAACAAUUUGAGACUGUGUGUGAGAGAAUAUAUGUGUGUCAAAUUACUGAGUGUGUUUAGGUGACCGGCCCCCCUGCAGUCCCAUGGGAAAGUUAUUUUUACUCACCUUUUCCCCCACGCCAUGCCGGUCCCACUGUGGCUGGUCGUACCUCCAUGAUGGAGAUAAUCAAUCUUGAUGAUCUAAUGCCAAAUCAAUGUUUUCCCAUAGGAAAGCAUUGGGAGAUUAUUGCACGUGAGGCAAACCACCACACUGCGCCAAUCAGCAUCUCCUCAUCAUAGAGCAUUGAGUCAAUGCAUCUCUAUGGGGAACAUUCAGCACCUUCAUGCAGAGCAUAGUCUAAGAAGCACCUCUGACUGUCACUAGAGGUGCUUCUAGCAAUGUAAACACUGCCUUUUCUCUGGAAAACCUGCAGGGACAGGCAAUAGCCACUAGAGAACUACAUUAAAGCUGUAGUGGAUCUGGUGACUAUAGUAUCCCUUUAAGAAUUGUAUUUUUAUUGUUGAAAAUAAAGCUUUGUUAGAUUAAAAAAAAACAAAAAACAAAAAAAA
Pelobates cultripes (western spadefoot toad) is the source of this 2009-nucleotide non-coding RNA. Lineage: Eukaryota; Metazoa; Chordata; Amphibia; Anura; Pelobatidae. The record is from the annotation of a GenBank genome assembly.